RNAcentral lists this ribosomal RNA (219 nucleotides) under uncultured bacterium. Its description in RNAcentral is "partial 16S ribosomal RNA". It matches the Rfam family "Bacterial small subunit ribosomal RNA", at positions 57 to 305 of the family's 1533-position model. The record is from RNAcentral.
GCAAGUCGAGCGAGACCUUCGGGUCUAGCGGCGGACGGGUUAGUAACGCGUGGGAACGUGCCCUUCACUACGGAAUAGUCCUGGGAAACUGGGUUUAAUACCGUAUACGCCCUUCGGGGGAAAGAAUUUCGGUGAAGGAUCGGCCCGCGUUGGAUUAGGUAGUUGGUGCGGUAACGGCGCACCAAGCCGACGAUCCAUAGCUGGUUUGAGAGGAUGAUC